RNAcentral lists this ribosomal RNA (424 nucleotides) under uncultured bacterium. RNAcentral describes it as "partial 16S ribosomal RNA". It matches the Rfam family "Bacterial small subunit ribosomal RNA", at positions 360 to 776 of the family's 1533-position model. The record is from RNAcentral.
AAUUUUGUACAAUGGGCGCAAGCCUGAUCCAGCCAUGCCGCGUGAGUGAAGAAGGCUUUCGGGUUGUCCAGCUCUUUCGUACGGAGCGAACUCGAGCAGGCUAAUACCCUGCGUGUCUGACGGUACCGUCAUAAGAAGCACCGGCUAACUACGUGCCAGCAGCCGCGGUAAUACGUACGGUGCGAGCUGUAAUCGGAAUUACUGGGCGUAAAGCGUGCGCAGGCGGUUGAUUAAGACGGACGUGAAAUCCCAGGGCUUAACCUGGGAACUGCGCUUGUGACUGGUCAGCUAGAGUACGGCAGAGGGGCGUGGAAUUCCACGUGUAGCAGUGAAAUGCGAAGAGAUGUGGAAGAACACCGAUGACGAAGGCAGCCCCCUGGGCCGAUACUGACGCUCAUGCACGAAAGCGUGGGUAGCAAACAGG